CCCAAUGUACGAAGGGACGACAGCUGCUGAAUGCCAUUAAAUAUCAAUUGGAAUGCCUCAAAAUCCACCAUAUCUGAGAAAGGACCAAUUUCCAAAUGACGUAACCCAGUGAGACGGUGAAGGCCGCUUGUGGGUACACAAAUCAACUUGGGACAGUGUGAUAGACCCAAAUAUGAAAGUGAAUGCAUUUCCCCCACAUGUAAAGGGAAGGAAACCAAGUCGUUACAUUUGUAGACACUCAAGGAUUCCAGAGACCGACAAUGCUCUAGCAUUCCACUUGGUAAAUUGGUCAAUCCAUCACAAUUCUGUAACUCAAGACUUUGGAGGGAAGUCAAAUAAUUCUCUCCACUAAGAACAGGAAAGGAACUGAAAUUGGGGCAGCUUCUAAUCCAUAAUCUCUUAAGAGAAUGGAGAUUGUACAAGCUCUUUGGCAAUUCAUGAAACUCUCCGCAUUUUUCAACCGAUAGGUGUUGAAGAGAAACGUUGUUGCGUAGCAUCUCAUCUGGAAAACAAGUGAGCUUUUUCACACCAUAGACACUAAGCUUUACGAGAGAUGUCAAGUUGCUGCACAAGUUCAACAAUGGCAUUUCACUGUCAACUUCGACAAUCACUAAUUCACUUAGGAUUUCAAAUUGAAUCGGAGUACUUUUUAACAAUUGACAGUUCGCAAUCCUCAACUUCUCAAGCUUAGGAAACAUUCUUACCCCACUUGUUGUUGGUAUCAAUUCCACUCCCUUCCACUCAAUAAGGCUACACAUAUCCUCCAAUAUAAGUUCUUUCAAUGACGGGAACACUUGGAUUUUGCUGCAUGAUCCAUUAUCAUUAACCUCAACACCAUAAAAUGUAGGCCCGAUGAAUUCCAAUUCAGGGAAUCCUAUCAGCUCAAGAUGCCGAAGGAACUUCAGUUGGCCAAGCGAUGGAAUUUCUUUGCACCUAUUGCAUUCACUUAAUUUUAACUUGACCAAAUUUGGUAGGGACUCUUCACUGAACCAUGAAGGAAAUCUAGUACCCAAAUAGUCCUUCACCAGUAAGAAUUUCAAGUUAGGAUGCGGUUGAAGACCAUCCAACACAUGCUCAUCAAUGGUUUCACAACCUUCUGGUUCAUCACGUAACCACCCAUAUGACAGCUUGUAAAUAUUCGAUUUCUCUUGUAAAUAUGCUGUUCGAGCUUCUUCUCUACUACGGACCAAAUGGAGAUCAUUGAUCCUCAAUUUACCUCUAAGCUUCUUCAAACAACCUAAUUCUUCUAUUCGGCGACCUUUCUCCAAACCCACAUUAAAAUAUCGUAGGGUCUGAAGACAAGUCAAUUGUCCCAUGUUAAGCGGCAUCUGAUACCAAGAAUGGCAAUAUAUGUGUCUCAAACUUAUCAUAUUCCCCAUCUCAAAUGGAAGUUCAUGGAGUAAAUAGCAACCAUUGACUCUAAAUGUUUGCAAAUUAUAGAGCUCGCAAAUGGAGUUGGGCAAGGCUCUGAUCUCAGUGUUCGAGAGAUCAAGAUAUCUCAAGUGUAUACACUUCCCAAUUUUGGCUGACAACUCUUUGAUUCCUGAACUGGACAAAUUUAAAACUCUCAAGAACUUGAAGCUCAACAACAUAUCUUCCGAUAUAUAAAUGCUUCUCCAAAACAGAGUGCACAAACGUCCUGGCUCAGUUAUCUUAUCUAUUUGAUCACUUGGUGAGUCCCAUCCAAAGUAUCGCACUUGAGAAAGAUUUUCUCCACCAUUGUCCUUUGGAUCAAAUAGUUUAUAUUUUAAGAUAUCCCCAGCCAAAUCAUGCACAAGAUCGUGCAUCUUACAGUGUGUUAUAUUGUUGUGCUUAUCUAACUUAACAUCUUGCAGCAAGGAAUUUCGCAACAAGAGUUGAAAGAACUUAUUCCCGAUGUCUUCCAUUACGGUGGUCUCUUGACAUGGAUGAAGAAGCCUUCUGCCAUCCAGAGUUGGAUUAUUUGGUCCUUUUCAAACUCGAAAUCUUUUGGAAACAUUGCAAAGUAAGCAAAGCAUUUUUUCAGAUGUGGAGAUGGUAGAUAAUCAUAGCUGAGUUUUAGUAUUUUCCUUAUGCUAUUUUCUCCGUUAUCAUCUUCACCUGCAACAAGGGGGUUUCCAUCAAGAAUUGCCUGCCAUUCAUGUUUUUCCUUGUUGCGUAAGAGGCCUCCCAACACACUUGCAGCCAACGGUAGACCUUGACACAUUUCCACAAUCCUGUUCUCCAUGCACACUAUUUCCUCUGGAAUUUCCCCAUCAACAAACGCUCUUUGUUUGAAAAUGGACCAACAAUGAGCUUCUGCUAAUUUUUCCAACCUAUGAGGACCUACUGCUGCUACUGUGGAUGCCACCUGUUCCAUACGAGUAGUCACAAGAAUGAAGUUUCCUCGGGAUGUAUUUAUUCCUCGCAAGGUGUCGACAAACUCUACCCACAAUGUAGAGUCAACACGCCAUAAAUCAUCCAGAACAAGUAAAUACUUUCUUCCUGCCAGUUCAUCUUGUAGCGUCUUGACUAUUAUGUCUCUGCUUUGGACCUCAACUUUCCUCUUUGUCAGGGAUUCGAGGAUUAGUUGAAGAAAGCUCUUCGUUUCUGACAUUUCAGGCAGGCACAACCAAACUCUCUUUUCAAAGUGUUUCUCGAUCUGUUCAUCGUUGAAAAUUCUCUUAGCCAUAGUUGUUUUCCCUAAACCCCCCAUACCAGCUAUGGGAAUGGUGCACAGAACAACAUCCUCUCUGAUGUUCAACAUCUUCCUCUUUAUUCUGCAACAUCGUUGUCUCUACCAACAACCUCCGAAGCAACUACUACAGAAUCUGUUUCUCGAAUUGGUAGUAUAUGCCGAGGAGGAACCAUGAGUGAUUGGAGACCGAGGUGUUUGGCUAACUUAUUGAUAGCCCUCAACUCUUCAUUGAUGUUGUUGAUUUUUCGUGACAUUUUGCUCUUAAAAGUUGUAUGAGAAAUGAAAUCACUGACCUUUUUCAUUGGGUUCUUUUGGAUCUUCACUUGUCUUUUGAUAGAUUCAUAUCUGAAUUCGUCAAACACAUUUUCAGCAUUUUCAGCAGCUCUCUCAAGCAUCUUGAGCCAUAGUUUCACAGCCUGAUCGUCAACUUGUCGUCUUUCAGCAUCAUGAAUGAAAGCUUGGAUCAAGGAUGCAUUUUGUGUAAGCAUUUCCAGAUCUUUCUUGCAGUCCCUUGAGCUACUGAGUUCCUCAAUAGUAAGAAAAAGCAGUUUUUCAAGCAAAACUUGAACAGUAGCACCAAUUACAGGAUCGGCCAUUGUUGUGUUUUGCUCAAAACUUGAAUUGUAGCACCAAACUUCUUGCACAAAGUCUUGUUCCUCUUCACCAAAGUCUUAUAAAAGUUUUUGCACAAGUCUUGUUUGUGGACCACUAAAAGGAAGACAAUAAUUCAUAGUACACAAUAAAAGUGAAAUGACGAAAAGACCCUCCUACUUUAUAUUGAUUUGUAAACCCAAUCCUCUUAUUUUAUCAGGCAUCACCUAGGCACUCCACUUAUAGUGGUUCAAACACACUACUUUAAAAGUUUAAACCAUUCCGACUCCUCUUGUUCAAAUAGAAGGAAAAGGUUAGAUUUGAGAUUUCUUCUACUAUUGCCCUGUCGUGCACGUGCUUGUCUUUCCCAACACUUUCUUCUUCCAUCAUGGCUCCUACAUUUCCUCUACUCACAGUUCUAUCCCAGAAACUGAUCUGGAGUCAGCAUAUUUACAGCUGUAUUCUAAGUAGUCUGGUUGACAAAUCAAAAUAAGUACAAGGAUCUCCAAUCCAUUUUUUCUUUUAUAAAUAAGCAAUUCGUGUUUGGACUGUGUAAACCAUGUGUAGAUUUCCCUAAUAACGAAACAAAAAUAGAGUGUAAAAAUGUCUCCAAAUUUACUACCUAAAGAUGUUAGUUACUUAACGAAAAAAGAGAUGAUCAAGCAAAUCUUUAAGAUGGUUCUAAUAAGAGGGUUGAAAUUAUUAUCAACUUCUGAACAUCUUUACCUAUGUUUGUGGUUUUAACUAUAAAAGGAAGUUCCAAUGAUCUGGAGGUAACGAAAAACUACAGCCACAUUAGUGGCAUUAUCUUUCUGUAUCAGCACAUUCUUUUCUUUCUUUGCAGUAAAUUGAGUUCACUCUUGAUCACACACCACUUUAGACUCUCUAAAGAGUUCCAUUUUCUCUCAGGCACAUCAAUAGUGUGGAAUGCACACCAACAGGUCAAAACCAAGAGUCCAUAGAAAUGAAUCAACAACAGUGGCUUGAAGCAGAUUUAUUGGAUAUUACUCCUUUCGACCUAUGCCUUUGCUGCUGCAAUUUAAGGCCUUAAACUCGGAAUGAACCAUGUUUUUGUUUUCCACUAGUAUUAUUAUGCAAUGUGGAUCCCUCAUGUCUGUGUAACUUUUUCUUUUUGGUUGAUACUUGGUAUCUGCUUUGUUUUGUGCUAAUUUGGCCAUAGAAUAAUUGAAGCAAUUGAGUAUGAUCGACAGUAGCUAAUUUCUUUCAUUAACAAAAUCUUCAAUUGAAUUGAGUCAUAUUUAGAGUGCAGAAAGCUCAAUUUUGUGUUGAAAUACACACAAAUUAUAGCAAUAGUCUGUCUAAAUCAUAAUAACACUAGUAAAUUACUAUUCAUUAGCAAGAACUUAAAACACUCUUCUUUACGGGACACCCUAAUCCAUAAUUAUUUAUCUACUAAUUAAAAAUACUAUAUAGUUUUUUUUUUCUUUCUGAAACUGCAUCUCUCCUUCUUGUUGCAUCUUUAUCAUCUUCAUCAAUUAUAUCUUCCUAUUGUUCAUGUUUUUAACUACUUGGAGUUCAAAUACAAUCUGUGUGAAAAAACAGAUACUAAAAAUUAUAAAAUCGUAUACAUAAAAUAGUGUUAUUAAAAAAACUUACCAGUAGUGUAAAGAAGGUGAGCAUGUAGUUUUAGAGAUGAGGUGUGAGAAGAAAAAGGAGUGUGAGGCUCCCACUUUAUGUGUUAACUUAGGUACAUGUGGUGUAUUUGUGUUGGUUAUUUAAAGUUAUUUAGAUGUGUCGGUAGAAGGAAUUUAAUGAUGGUCCAACAUUGGAGUAGCUUUCGUCUAUCUUUACUUAUACACUAUACUAUUCUGGAAUGUCCAACAAUACUUAUCCAUUUUAUAAAACCAAUGAAUAAGAUGGAUUGAAAUGGUGCAAUUUCCAUAGAUAAAUUUCAAGACGAAAAGCAGAGCUACAUUAAAGAAGCUAUCAACUAGGCAAGGAUGCAGCAGAUAAGUAUUAAGUUCAAAAUGUUUGCUGGAAACAAAAGAACUCUAUUAGUACGAAAAAGGCAUGUACUCUGUCCGCAAGAAAUUAAAGGCCUCUGCUAUCAAAUCUUAGUCAUACAAGUACAUAAUAUCUCCACUCCAGUUUCCGCCAAAUGCAAUUUUACUUGCCAAUCAAGACACUUGAACACAUCUAAGAGAAGUCUGCUCCAGCCUACCAUCUCAACAAGGUCCAUGCAUGUCGUUGUUUCAACCAAUAAUCUUAAGCAUAAGAAAUGGUAAAAAGUCAGUUUUGGCACACAUUUUGUCUGAUCCUUGCGAAAUGGAGAAGCAACUCGUUACAAUUGAUCUGUAGCACCAUUUGUAAUCUCUUAUGAACAAAAACUGACUUACCUUGAAUUUUCUUGCUUUGUGCAAGAAGAGUCUCCAACGCGGCACCAAUGUCCACAAACUUCCAAUCUGUUCCCUGAAAGUUAAAAUCAUGUUGAAAACUGAACAUAAUUUGGAGAAGCAUCUACUAUCAAUGGAAUCCAAAAUAAAAUCUGUCUUGCAUCUAAGAAUCAUGUGUACACCAAUCAUGACAACCCAAUGUUAUGCCAAUCAAAUACUUCACUUUCCUCAAAGAGAAAGAACAAUUUCCUUUACCAGAAUCAUAUUAUAUAAUGAAGUGUAUAAUAAUAUUUGAGGAUUUAGAGAAGGACUAUAUUGCUGAAAGAUAAUACCUGUUAAAAGUUUCAGUAUUUUAACGAGAAAAAGGAGCUGAAAAGUAAAAUUGAUGAAAUUGUUCUUGGGCAUGCCUUAUACUUCCUCAUAGCUUUUAAGUCUUGGCUGGCAUAGAAAUAAGGUGUAGUUAGUAAUGGACAUAUAUUUUGUCUUUGUAUUACAAUAACCUUCUAGCUUCAACUUAAUGUUGAGAGAUUAUAUAGUCUUUACCAAAUGCUCAUGAAACAGUCUACGGCUGAAGAUUCUAUUCUUCAACAAAACAAAUGUGGUGGUUCCUUUGUCGUACAUAACCAUUCAUGUUAAACAGUAAAAUUGUGUCAUGGGAAAAAAAGGAGUGCAAAGAAAAAAUUGUUACAACAUUCUAACUGCAAUUUUACCUAAUGUAAUUGCCGUGGAUGGAUUUUGACUUGAAAUGCCACAGCAACGUUCUAGCAUGACCUUUAAACUAAUAACCAAUGAGAAAAAGCACACAUAAAUAUUCAUGAUUAAUCCAUAUCAUAAAGGUAAAAAUAGAUAUUCAUAAAUUUGUUUCAAGUGGAACAAAAAAAUGUUUGGAAAACUAUAAUGGAGAAUGGAGGAGAAUAACUCGUGGAAAAUAAUAAUUAAAAAUGCAACUCAGAAACAAAAAGAGAAACAGAAACUUACGCAAGUCCUGAAUUAUGCUUCCACCUACUUCAAUUUUUAGAAUAUGGGAAAUGUUGGACCAUUGGGAGUUUGAGCCACUCCAAUUUGUGCAACUUUCUUCUAACUUUGGGCAGCCUUUAAUUUCCAAGUUCCAUAAUUUGGUGAGGCGUCGCAUGGCAUCUCUAGAUGGCAGAUGCUCUAGUUUCUCGCAUUUCUGUAAAAAUAACUCUUGCAAAGAAACAAGGUUACCGAGCCCAUCCGAUAUAGCUUCUAACAAUGGACAAUCAUUUAUGCACAGAUAACGUAAUUUGGGCAUGGCAUCUGAGAAGUCCAGAUGUUGUAGCCGUUUGCACCCCAUUAGCAUUAAUCUUUCAAGAGAAGUAAGGUUGCCAAAUCUAUGAGGAAGAGCCUUGAUUCCAAAUCCAUAUAUUUUGAUCUCUAUAAGGUCAGAGAGUUGCAUAAGCUGAUAGGGCAGAGAAUCCCAGUGCAAGUGUCCCCACACCUCCAAUGUAUGAAGAGACUGAAUGCCAUCAAAUAUCAAUUGGAAUGCCUCAAAAUCCACCAUUUCUGAGAAAGGACCUAUUUCCAAAUGCUGUAACCCAGUGAGACGAAGGCCACCAGCGGGUACACUAAUCAAUUUGGGACAUUUUGAUAUAUUCAAAUAUGAAAGUGAAGGUUUUUCCCCGACAUGUAAAGGGAAGGAAACUAAGUUGUUACAGUUGAAGACCUUCAAA
RNAcentral lists this long non-coding RNA (7292 nucleotides) under Solanum tuberosum (potato). RNAcentral describes it as "long non-coding RNA (STUB_LNC010101)". The record is from RNAcentral. Lineage: Eukaryota; Viridiplantae; Streptophyta; Magnoliopsida; Solanales; Solanaceae.